AGAUGCUCGGAUGAGCUGUGGUUAGGGGUAAUAUGCCAAUCGAACCCGGAGAUAGCUGGUUCUCCCUGAAAUAUAUUUAGGUAUAGGGUUGCGUUAAGCAGAGUUGGGGGUAGAGCACUGAUCGGGCGUCUUAUGGGAAACCGUGAGCGUCUAGUCAAACUCCGAAUACCAAUUUUGUGUUUCGCAGCACUCAGCACCUGGGAGCUAAGUUCCAGGAGCUAAAGGAAAACAAACCAGACCUACAGCUAAGGUCUCCAAUAAACAUUUAGUGGGAAAGGAAGUUUAGAUCCUAAGACAACUAGGAGGUCGGCUCAGAAGCAGCCAUCCUUUAAAGAAAGCGUAACAGCUCACUAGCCGUAGGAUUUAUGCGCCGAAAAUUUAACGAGGCUCAAAUGUUUAACCGAAGCUUAGGAUUCACUCUAGUUUACUAGAGUGAGUGGUAAGGGAGCGUUCUGUGUGCUUUGAAGGUAGCCCGUAAGGAGCUGCUGGAGCGAUCAGAAGUGAGAAUGCUGGCAUAAGUAGCGUCAUUGAAGUGAGAAUCUUCAACUCCGAAUGUCCAAGGUUUCCGCACCCACGUUCGUCGUGUGCGGGUUAGGCGACCCUAAGACAAGCCCCGUCUAAGACGGAGGGUAGUCGAUGGAUUACUGGUUAAUAUUCCAGUCCUUGGUACAGAUCAUUAUUACUUGGGGAAGGACGAUGAUGGAUAGCGCUGGUGCAAAAGUGAAUUUUGCAUCCAAUCAACAAGACAGUCUAGUCAGGCAAAUCCGAUUAGGCGUUUAUUCAAGUUGUGAUAGGUCAAUACUCUGCGUGAGUGUUGAUCAGCGUGAUUUCAUUAUCCUGGAAAAGCUUCGCAAGGAGAGCUGUAUCAAAUCGUACCGAUAACCGACACAGGUGGACAGGUCGAGUAGACCAAGGAGAGCGAGAGAAAGUAGUUUAAGGAAUUCGGCAAAAUAGCUGGGCGUAACUUUGGGAAAUGCCCUCCCCGUCGCAAGAUGGGGCGCAGCGAAUGAAAUGAGGCCGACUGUUUACCAAAAACACAGGUCUGUGCAAACCCGCAAGGGGAAGUAUACGGGCUGAAACCUGCCCGGUGCUGGAAGGUUAAUUGCGAGGGUGAUUAGUUUACUAAUUGCUUUCAAUAGAAGCCCCAGUGAACGGCAGCAGUAACUAUAACUGUUCUAAGGUAGCGAAGUACCUUGUCACUUAAUUGGUGACGCGCAUGAAAGGCUCAACGAGCCUCAUACUGUCUUGAACUACUACUCGGCGAAAUUGAGAUGGCCGUGAAGACGCGGCCUACUAACACCAGGACAAAAAGACCCCGUGAAGCUUUACUACAACUUGGCACUGGUCUUAUAUAUGGAAUUGUUUAGGAUAGGUGGGAGUUCCUUCAUUUAGUGAUGGAACAUCAGUGAAAUACCACUCGUUUUAUAUAUAGGACCUUACUUAAGACUAAUGCAAACUUAGUCAAGGACACUGUCUGGCAGGUAGUUUAACUGGGGAGGUUGCUUGCUAAAGAGUAACGCAAGCGCGCAAUGGUACCCUUAGUCUGGAUGGAAAUCAGACUGUACGUGCAAUAGCAUAUGGGUGCUUAACUGUGAGGCAUACGGGCCGAGCAGAUGCGAAAGCAGGUUAUAGUGAUCCUCGUGCACUUUAUGGAAGGUGCCGGGCUUAUCGGAUAAAAGCUACUCCGGGGAUAACAGAGUCAUCGCGCCUAAGCGUCCCUAGCGUCGGCGCGGUUUGCUACCUCGAUGUCGGCUCAUCGCAUCCUGGGGGUGAAGAAGCUCCCAAGGGUUUGUCUGUUCGCCAAUUAAAGCGGUACGCGAGCUGGGUUCAGACCGUCGUGAGACAGGUCGGCCUCUAUCCGGUGUUAGCGUUAGAAAGUUGAGGGAAUUUAUCUCUAGUACGAGAGGACCGAGAUGAGGGGAUCCCUAGUGUUCCUGUUGUUGCUGUCAAGCGCACCGCAGGGUAGCUACAUCCUUUAAGGAUAAUCGCUGAAAGCAUCUAAGCGAGAAGCCCCACCCAAGAUUAACUUUCUCCAUUAGACCCGUGGGAGACUACCACGUUGAUAGGUUGCCGGUGUAAGUAUGGUGACAUAUUAAGCCUAGCAAUACUAAGUGUCGAUUGAAUAAAUUAC
This 2131-nucleotide ribosomal RNA is filed under the name terrestrial metagenome. RNAcentral describes it as "bacterial LSU rRNA". It matches the Rfam family "Bacterial large subunit ribosomal RNA", at positions 794 to 2925 of the family's 2925-position model. The record is from RNAcentral.